GGGGCUAUAGUCUAAUUGGUAAAACUGGGACCUUGCAUGUCCUCAAUUCAGGUUCAAAUCCUGAUAGCUCCA
The sequence is a transfer RNA, 72 nucleotides long. It matches the Rfam family "tRNA". Rfam says of the family: Transfer RNA (tRNA) molecules are approximately 80 nucleotides in length. Their secondary structure includes four short double-helical elements and three loops (D, anti-codon, and T loops). The record is from Rfam.